UGGGAACGUACCCUUUGGUUCGGAACAACCCAGGGAAACUUGGGCUAAUACCGGAUAAGUCCGUAAGGAGAAAGAUUUAUCGCCAAAGGAUCGGCCCGCGUCUGAUUAGCUAGUUGGUAGGGUAAUGGCCUACCAAGGCUACGAUCAGUAGCUGGUCUGAGAGGGUGAUCAGCCACAUUGGGACUGAGACACGGCCCAAACUCCUACGGGAGGCAG
Molecule: ribosomal RNA, 216 nt
Filed under: uncultured bacterium
Lineage: Bacteria
Description: partial 16S ribosomal RNA
Rfam family: Bacterial small subunit ribosomal RNA
Source: RNAcentral